RNAcentral lists this ribosomal RNA (463 nucleotides) under uncultured bacterium. RNAcentral describes it as "partial 16S ribosomal RNA". It matches the Rfam family "Bacterial small subunit ribosomal RNA", at positions 28 to 507 of the family's 1533-position model. The record is from RNAcentral.
GAUGAACGCUGACAGAAUGCUUAACACAUGCAAGUCUUUGGCGAAGCUGUGCUCGCACAGCCUAGCCAAGGCGGACGGGUGAGUAACGCGUAAGGAACUUGCCCUGCAGUCAGGGAUAACAGACGGAAACGACUGAUAAGACCUGGUAAAGUCAGGCGGACUCAUGUCCAGCCUGAUGAAAAGAGAUGCUGCAGGAGAGCCUUGCGUCCUAUUAGCUUGUUGGUGGGGUAACAGCCCACCAAGGCGAUGAUAGGUAGCCGGCCUGGGAGGGUGGACGGCCACAAGGGGACUGAGAUACGGCCCUUACUCCUACGGGAGGCAGCAGUGGGGAAUAUUGGACAAUGGGGGCAACCCUGAUCCAGCAAUUCUGUGUGCACGAUGAAGGUUUUCGGAUUGUAAAGUGCUUUCAGCAGGGAAGAAAAAAAUGACGGUACCUGCAGAAGAAGCGACGGCUAAAUACGUG